RNAcentral lists this small RNA (612 nucleotides) under Pan troglodytes (chimpanzee). RNAcentral describes it as "processed transcript". Lineage: Eukaryota; Metazoa; Chordata; Mammalia; Primates; Hominidae. The record is from RNAcentral.
GCUGCCCCCAACAAGCAAGGCUGGAUGGACUGGUACAAAUAGCACAUAGGUGCUGCAAGAGUUCAAAGUCCUGGAAAGAUCAAGCAGUAUGGGUGGGGUAUGUAGUGAGCAAAGCCGUGGAGGAAAUUGUGAAUACUGGUGUCACAGUUAUUAAGGAUGAGAAGACCAGUGUGGCCCGACUGAUGAGGGAAAAAGAACAUGAAAUGAACAUCUUCUAUGGCAUAGCUCAGAGGCAGAGGCAAGAAGAGGUACAGGAAGUGCUUCAAGAAGCAGAGAAAACACAUCAGGCCACUCUUGGCAAUAUGAUGGAUAAACUGGCUAACACCCAGGGGGAGCUGCUGUCUAUAGCAAAACAACUGGGAAUCAUGACAAAUUGGAAAGAUUUCCUAGAGGAGGAAUUACAGGAAACCAGGAUGGCAUUUCAAAAAUACAUCAAUUAUACCUUUCCUAAGCUUUCACCAGGACACGCAGAUUUUAUUCUGCCAGAAAGAAAGAAAACACCUUCUAAUCUUGUUAUUAAGGAGAACAAAACAACUCUUGAUUAGAAGUCUUCAGUUGGAAUUUCACUACAAAAGACAUCAUUCCAGACUAAAUAAAUGUACUCAAAAACCA